Molecule: transfer RNA, 73 nt
Filed under: Stegodyphus mimosarum
Lineage: Eukaryota; Metazoa; Arthropoda; Arachnida; Araneae; Eresidae
Rfam family: tRNA
About the family: Transfer RNA (tRNA) molecules are approximately 80 nucleotides in length. Their secondary structure includes four short double-helical elements and three loops (D, anti-codon, and T loops).
Source: Rfam by way of RNAcentral
GGCUUUGUGGUGUAAUGGUCAGCACACUGAGCCGGUAUUUCAGAGGUCCGCGGUUCGAUCCCCGGCGAAGGCA